UGGCGGACGGGUGAGUAACGCGUGGGUAACCUGCCUUGUACUGGGGGACAACAGUUAGAAAUGACUGCUAAUACCGCAUAAGCGCACAGGACCGCAUGGUCUAGUGUGAAAAACUCCGGUGGUGUGAGAUGGACCCGCGUUUGAUUAGCUAGUUGGUGGGGUAACGGCCUACCAAGGCGACGAUCAAUAGCCGACCUGAGAGGGUGACCGGCCACAUUGGGACUGAGACACGGCCCAA
This 238-nucleotide ribosomal RNA is filed under the name uncultured bacterium. RNAcentral describes it as "partial 16S ribosomal RNA". It matches the Rfam family "Bacterial small subunit ribosomal RNA", at positions 96 to 334 of the family's 1533-position model. The record is from RNAcentral.